UACGGAGGGGGCUAGCGUUGUUCGGAAUUACUGGGCGUAAAGGGUGCGUAGGUGGCGGGGUAAGUCUGGUGUGAAAGCUCCGAGCUUAACUCGGAAAAGCAUUGGAAACUAUCCCGCUGGAGGGUCGGAGGGGAGACUGGAAUUCUCGGUGUAGCAGUGAAAUGCGUAGAUAUCGAGAGGAACACCAGUGGCGAAGGCGAGUCUCUGGACGACUCCUGACACUGAGGCACGAAAGCUAGGGGAGCAAACAGG
This 252-nucleotide ribosomal RNA is filed under the name uncultured bacterium. RNAcentral's name for it is "partial 16S ribosomal RNA". It matches the Rfam family "Bacterial small subunit ribosomal RNA", at positions 524 to 776 of the family's 1533-position model. The record is from RNAcentral.